RNAcentral lists this ribosomal RNA (464 nucleotides) under Vreelandella stevensii. RNAcentral's name for it is "partial 16S ribosomal RNA". It matches the Rfam family "Bacterial small subunit ribosomal RNA", at positions 338 to 795 of the family's 1533-position model. Lineage: Bacteria; Pseudomonadati; Pseudomonadota; Gammaproteobacteria; Oceanospirillales; Halomonadaceae. The record is from RNAcentral.
CCUACGGUGCGCUGCAGUGGGGAAUAUUGGACAAUGGGCGAAAGCCUGAUCCAGCCAUGCCGCGUGUGUGAAGAAGGCCUUCGGGUUGUAAAGCACUUUCAGUGGGGAAGAAAGCCUUGGGGCUAAUACCCUCGAGGAAGGACAUCACCCACAGAAGAAGCACCGGCUAACUCCGUGCCAGCAGCCGCGGUAAUACGGAGGGUGCGAGCGUUAAUCGGAAUUACUGGGCGUAAAGCGCGCGUAGGCGGUCUGAUAAGCCGGUUGUGAAAGCCCCGGGCUCAACCUGGGAACGGCAUCCGGAACUGUCAGGCUAGAGUGCAGGAGAGGAAGGUAGAAUUCCCGGUGUAGCGGUGAAAUGCGUAGAGAUCGGGAGGAAUACCAGUGGCGAAGGCGGCCUUCUGGACUGACACUGACGCUGAGGUGCGAAAGCGUGGGUAGCAAACAGGAUUAGAUACCCUGUAGUC